RNAcentral lists this ribosomal RNA (487 nucleotides) under Streptococcus sobrinus. RNAcentral describes it as "bacterial SSU rRNA". It matches the Rfam family "Bacterial small subunit ribosomal RNA", at positions 28 to 492 of the family's 1533-position model. The record is from RNAcentral. Lineage: Bacteria; Bacillati; Bacillota; Bacilli; Lactobacillales; Streptococcaceae.
GACGAACGCUGGCGGCGUGCCUAAUACAUGCAAGUGGAACGCAUUGGUAACACCGGACUUGCUCCAGUGUUACUAAUGAGUCGCGAACGGGUGAGUAACGCGUAGGUAACCUGCCUGAUAGCGGGGGAUAACUAUUGGAAACGAUAGCUAACACCGCAUAAGAGGAGUUAACUCAUGUUAACUGUUUAAAAGAAGCAAUGGCUUCACUAUCAGAUGGACCUGCGUUGUAUUAGCUAGUAGGUAGGGUAACGGCCUACCUAGGCAACGAUACAUAGCCGACCUGAGAGGGUGAACGGCCACACUGGGACUGAGACACGGCCCAGACUCCUACGGGAGGCAGCAGUAGGGAAUCUUCGGCAAUGGACGCAAGUCUGACCGAGCAACGCCGCGUGAGUGAAGACGGUUUUCGGAUCGUAAAGCUCUGUUGUAGGGGAAGAACGUGUGUAAGAGUGGAAAGCUUACACAGGACGUACCCUACCAGAAAGGC